UUAUUUACAGCCUGCUGUGAUAAAUAUCACUUGAGAUAACAUAUCAGAAUGAUAGUGUUUUAUGCGAAGUAACAUGUUUUCACAAUAACAUCCCACGCAGCGGGAGACCCCACAAAACACCUUUUACUUUACAAAUUAACAUUUCAAAUUAUUACUUUUUCUGUGUGAAAAUUGUGCGUCGUGUUUUACUUAAUUACGUGUCUGAAGUUAUAAUUUGGUCUGAAAAAGAAGAUAAAUUAAUUAAUCUGCAUUUUUUAAUAAUAAAUAGCGAUGGCGCCUCGGCAGGACAUCGUAGCCCAGCCACAGCCGAUCAGAAUAGAGCAGGGUAGGCAGCCCCCACCUCCGCCGGCGCCGGGACGCCUCCAGCGACCCCCGCACGACAACCCUACCGUCUACAUAAACAGGCCCACGAAUAUACCUCGCAACAAUGUCAACACCAGUGAAAUCGCUCGCACGUAGGCAAACACUGUGAAUGAAAACAAAAUCGUAGAUACUUCUACUGGGUAUGUUAGUUUGUCUAUGACAUGUUGUUUUUUUAGAGAAGGGAUUAAUAAAUUAAAUAAAUAAGUCUAAAAGCCUUGUUUUCAAACAUUGUUAUAAGUUGCCGUAUUUUUCUAAUAAUAAGACUACGACUUUUGUUAUUAAAAUGAAAAACUAUUUCAAAGGAUUCAUAAGGCCGAAGUUUGGUUUUAUAAUAUACAAUAUUUAUUCAAAAGAUAAAGAUAAGUACCCACAAAUAAUCAUAAAUCAACAUGUUCUGAAUAACAAAUCAAUAUUUUCACCUAACAUGACUUGAAGUACAGCGCUAAGAAAAGUAAAACAGUUGACGAAAAUACGAUUUUGAUUGCGUCACAGGCCGUCCCUUUUAAUAGGGUGGGUAUUGAAACAAAUUUUGAAAUACUUAAGUAUAAAUUAAAUUACUAUUUGUGUAAGUAAUCGUAAUGUCUAAAAUUCUUAAAUUUCUAGAAAUAAAUGAACAUUUUAUUCUGUGGAAAAUUACGUAACUGUGUAAUUUGGUUUAUAAAAUUAUUUAAUACCUAUAUAAGUAGGUACCUACCCACAUUAAGCGAGAAAUUGUUUCUAGGUUAUAAUUUUUAGUAGUUAUAGGUUUAUAUAUAAACAUAGAAUUGCCUAUUUCACUUUCUGUAUAUACUAGAUAGAUUUUAGAGAUAUAAAUGUACCUACAUGUAAUAAAAAUAAUUAUAAAACAUUUAAUCAAUACCUA
Molecule: long non-coding RNA, 1225 nt
Organism: Spodoptera litura
Lineage: Eukaryota; Metazoa; Arthropoda; Insecta; Lepidoptera; Noctuidae
Source: RefSeq, a predicted model, not a curated record